RNAcentral lists this ribosomal RNA (306 nucleotides) under uncultured bacterium. Its description in RNAcentral is "partial 16S ribosomal RNA". It matches the Rfam family "Bacterial small subunit ribosomal RNA", at positions 507 to 807 of the family's 1533-position model. The record is from RNAcentral.
GACAGCAGUCGCCGCGGGAAUACGUAGGUGGCAAGCGUUGUCCGGAAUUAUUGGGCGUAAAGGGCUCGCAGGCGGUUUCUUAAGUCUGAUGUGAAAGCCUCCGGCUCAACCGGGGAGGGUCAUUGGAAGCUGGGAAACUUGAGUGCAGAAGAGGAGAGUGGAAUUCCACGUGUAGCGGUGAAAUGCGUAGAGAUGUGGAGGAACACCAGUGGCGAAGGCGACUCUCUGGUCUGUAACUGACGCUGAGGAGCGAAAGCGUGGGGAGCGAACAGGAUUAGAUACCCCCGUAGUCCCUGUCUCUUAUAC